This 244-nucleotide ribosomal RNA is filed under the name uncultured bacterium. RNAcentral's name for it is "partial 16S ribosomal RNA". It matches the Rfam family "Bacterial small subunit ribosomal RNA", at positions 524 to 767 of the family's 1533-position model. The record is from RNAcentral.
UACGAAGGGGGCUAGCGUUGUUCGGAUUUACUGGGCGUAAAGCGCACGUAGGCGGAUCUUUAAGUCAGAGGUGAAAUCCCGGAGCUCAACUUCGGAACUGCCUUUGAUACUGGGGAUCUCGAGUUCGGGAGAGGUGAGUGGAACUGCGAGUGUAGAGGUGAAAUUCGUAGAUAUUCGCAAGAACACCAGUGGCGAAGGCGGCUCACUGGCCCGAUACUGACGCUGAGGUGCGAAGGCGUGGGGA